UGACGGUGUCUCCUUACACUUGGCAGUGUC
Molecule: non-coding RNA, 30 nt
Filed under: Mus musculus (house mouse)
Lineage: Eukaryota; Metazoa; Chordata; Mammalia; Rodentia; Muridae
Source: RNAcentral